AUCUGUUUGCUCCCUGUUCAAAGGCAAAGCUUGGAUUUGGUGGAAACAUAAAGCUUGACCCUGUGUGGAAAGCAUGCGUCCUUUAUUUCAAUUCCAUUAUUUUAAUAAGAAAUUCAAUUUUUAUGGGUAAAAACACGUCUUAUAGAAAGGACACUUCUGAGUAUCACCACAGCUCCUUCCCAACCAACAUCAGGCCCUUUGGAGGGAACUUGUGUGAAAAGGACAUCAGUGUCUUCACCAAGACCCUCUUGGCAGCCACCAGCUGUGGCAGGAAGGAGCUCAGACCGAGAGGCGGUGCCGAGGGCCUCGGCAGGUCAGGUGACCACGUGACAGAGACCCCGCCUCCGCACGCACGUCCGUAACUCGAGUUCCGGUUCCUCCUGGGCUUGCUCCCUCCGCUUGCAGUGGUCUCCCGGUGAAUUCUGAGGCCUCUGCGGUGGAGGACACCCUGCCCCACGCCCUCUCCCGGGAUCCAGAACCGCAGCUGGGCCGGGCCCUUCUGCCGUUUUCAGAUGCUGCUCCGAGACUUGUGUUUCCCAGCCUUCUCUGCCACCCAGACCUCCGGUGACAGGCCAGCCUUCUUCCGAUAGAGAGGGUCGUCCCCGAACCGAGCCGUGCUCCCUGCAUCCCUGGCUGGAGAUUCUCCACCUUCGCUGAGAACCAGUGAUGCACGCAUCUUACCAAGUGCUUUUUCCGCUUCGUUGAAUCGAGGGAGGCAUUAUGAAGAGGCUUCGCUUAUCUACUUGAGCUACUGCGGUCAGGAGAAAGCAACACGCAGAAACGUUCCCAGCGGCAGACCCAAAAUACUGUUCCCCUGCCGACCUCUCCCGCUCUACUAUGCCACCCGAAGGCGCUCAGGAAAGGAAAGCGGAGCCAAAGCCCUCCGUGUCGGACGUCAGCCCGCACGGUCAUUCUCCCCAAUGUCUGUGUCUGUGUUACUAAUUCAUUCACCAGGCCCACCCAAACAUUUUAAUGAAGUGCCAGUUCGGUGGCCGGGCCUUAUUCUCUGCAUUUCAUCCCAGAAGUCGCGAAGGCAAAGGAAACACUGCCUAGCGGGGGGAUCGUUGCCAGAACGUGUGAGCUCCCGGGGGUAGCACA
This is a long non-coding RNA of Bubalus bubalis (water buffalo), 1098 nucleotides long. RefSeq lists it as uncharacterized. The transcript is spliced from 2 exons. NCBI's taxonomy places the organism in Eukaryota, Metazoa, Chordata, Mammalia, Artiodactyla, Bovidae. The record is from RefSeq and is a predicted model, not a curated record.